GACUACUUUGAAUUGGUAGAUGAUCUAGAUCUAGUUCCAAGAAGACUGUCUAUUUUACUUAAUUCUCGACUGUAUUUCCUGUAAUCUCCAAUAUUUGACUUCGCAUUUUAAACUUGUCUAAAUUAUGUAACAAUUAAUAUGCUCACCUACUCUGUGAUGCGAAAUUCUUGCAAAUGGUGCUGCCCGUUAUAUAUCUAUGUGUUCUAUAUAUCAUCACAUAGCCUAUUUCUUUUUUCUCUUUGGUUCUGAUAUACAUAAUGCUAUUGGUAAAGAAAUUUUUUUUAUAUACAAACAUUUUA
Molecule: non-coding RNA, 299 nt
Organism: Biomphalaria pfeifferi
Lineage: Eukaryota; Metazoa; Mollusca; Gastropoda; Planorbidae
Source: the annotation of a GenBank genome assembly